RNAcentral lists this transfer RNA (74 nucleotides) under Caldicellulosiruptor bescii. Its description in RNAcentral is "tRNA_Gly_TCC". It matches the Rfam family "tRNA". Rfam says of the family: Transfer RNA (tRNA) molecules are approximately 80 nucleotides in length. Their secondary structure includes four short double-helical elements and three loops (D, anti-codon, and T loops). The record is from RNAcentral. Lineage: Bacteria; Bacillati; Bacillota; Caldicellulosiruptorales; Caldicellulosiruptoraceae. RNAcentral also lists the same sequence under 14 other names.
GCGGGUGUAGUUCAAUGGUAGAACACCAGCCUUCCAAGCUGGCAGCGUGGGUUCGAUUCCCAUCACCCGCUCCA